ACUGUCGGUGAGGCUGACCAGAUCUUAUGACCUCACCCAAGUAAGAAGUCCCUAACAGACAAGGAUAGCCCAAGAGCAUUUGGACACUUUCUCCCAAAAUGUAAAAGACUGAAAGCGCUCCUACAGCCUUCAUCUCAUUUAGUCUUCACAGCAAUCCUGCAUCAAGACAGAAGAAAUGCAGCACAAGGCCUCUCUACCCAGUCAGGGACCAGACGGGCACUCACCCAUUCAGACAAGAUGAGUCGAUCACUGGAAUGCUUGGAAGUCUUCCAUCUCACUGAAUGUCCAUUU
This is a long non-coding RNA of Vombatus ursinus (common wombat), 291 nucleotides long. RefSeq lists it as uncharacterized. The transcript is spliced from 4 exons. NCBI's taxonomy places the organism in Eukaryota, Metazoa, Chordata, Mammalia, Diprotodontia, Vombatidae. The record is from RefSeq and is a predicted model, not a curated record.